GGCAGAGGGAGCCCGGCCUCCGCUACACGCGUAGUGAGGAAAGUCCCCCCACCGUCCGGGCGGGCGACUGGGCGCAAGCCCAGAGCGGGAGACCGCUGGCUCUGGAACAGAAACGAGACCCCUCGGCGCGAGCGAUGAGACCUGCGAACCGAACCGCGAGGUGAGGAAGCUAACCGGUCGAGCGUCGACCGCCGAGAACGGAUGGAACGGCGAAUCCUCGCCGGUGCAAGCCCGCCGCGCUAUGGUAGCCCGGACGCUGCGGCGGGUGCUCAGCCGAAUGCCGGGCCGAACAGAAGGGGGCUUACUCCCCUCCAGCC
Molecule: RNase P RNA, 317 nt
Filed under: Salinirubellus salinus
Lineage: Archaea; Methanobacteriati; Methanobacteriota; Halobacteria; Halobacteriales; Natronomonadaceae
Description: Archaeal RNase P
Rfam family: Archaeal RNase P
About the family: Ribonuclease P (RNase P) is a ubiquitous endoribonuclease, found in archaea, bacteria and eukarya as well as chloroplasts and mitochondria. Its best characterised activity is the generation of mature 5'-ends of tRNAs by cleaving the 5'-leader elements of precursor-tRNAs. Cellular RNase Ps are ribonucleoproteins.
Source: Rfam by way of RNAcentral